Molecule: ribosomal RNA, 263 nt
Filed under: uncultured archaeon
Lineage: Archaea
Description: partial 16S ribosomal RNA
Rfam family: Archaeal small subunit ribosomal RNA
Source: RNAcentral
AGUCACUGACAUUAGAUACCCCGGUAGUCCCAGCCGUAAACUAUGUGCGUUAGGUGUGUCAGUGACCACGUGUCACUGAGGUGCCGAAGGGAAACCGUGAAACGCACCGCCUGGGAGUACGGUCGCAAGGCUGAAACUUAAAGGAAUUGGCGGGGAGCACCACAACGGGUGGAGCCUGCGGUUUAAUUGGAUUCAACGCCGGAAAUCUUACCGGGACCGACAGCAACAUGAAGGCCAAGCUGAAGACUUUGCCGGAUUAGCUG